RNAcentral lists this RNase P RNA (349 nucleotides) under Clostridia bacterium. Its description in RNAcentral is "RNase P RNA component class A". It matches the Rfam family "Bacterial RNase P class A". Rfam says of the family: Ribonuclease P (RNase P) is a ubiquitous endoribonuclease, found in archaea, bacteria and eukarya as well as chloroplasts and mitochondria. The record is from RNAcentral. Lineage: Bacteria; Bacillati; Bacillota; Clostridia.
ACAGUUGGGCAGAUGGUCGCUGUGUGUUCGUAAUGGACACAGAGAGGAAAGUCCGAGCAUCAAAAGAACAAGGUGCCAGUUAACGGCUGGUGGAGGCGACUCUAAGGAUAGUGCAACAGAAAUAGACUUCCAUAUUUUAAAUAUGGUAAAGGUGGAAAGGUAGGGUAAGAGCCUACCGGGUGAUUGGCAACAAUCAUUGCUCUGUAAACCCCACUUGAUGCAAGAUUAAGUUUAGGCAAAUGUGUGUUCUUUCACGCCUAACAAAAAUAUCGCUUGAACUUGUUGGCGACAACAAGUCUGGAAAGAUGACCGUCUAAUACAGAACUCGGCUUAUAGCCCAAGUGUCAAA